Molecule: long non-coding RNA, 2021 nt
Filed under: Rattus norvegicus (Norway rat)
Lineage: Eukaryota; Metazoa; Chordata; Mammalia; Rodentia; Muridae
Description: long non-coding RNA NONRATT007599
Source: RNAcentral
AUUCGGUAAGAUCAGCUCUCAGCGGUAGCCAGCCAUCAGUUGACAGGCUUUCCUGUCCUCCCCUCGGUGUCCUGGGAUCUCUGUUAGCAGUUCUGACGCCACAGCCGUAAUUGACUGGUGGGCUUGGCUGGCGGUGAUUAAUGGUCAGGUUACAGAUCUGGGCUUAGAAAUCCAAAGCCAGGGUUGGGGAUUUAGCUCAGUGGUAGAGUGCUUGCUAGGCAAGCGCAAGGCCCUGGGUUCAGUCCCCAGCUCCAAAAGAAAAAAAAAAGAAAUCCAAAGCCAGUGCUCUCUUGCUGGGGUCGCUGGCUGUUCCUAGGUGACCACUUAACAUUCUCAAAUGGGCAGAGUGCAGCCUGGAGGCAGUGCACACACUCCUCGCCGGCUGGCACUGAACUUCAUCUACACCAAAGCUUCCAGCUAAAGGUCUGGUUGAUCAUUGGCAGGAAGUGCACCACCCACGGCUGCCCGCCAGGUCGGACAUUCCACCGGCUCCAUUGGUCUUGUUUUUAAUGUAUUUCUUAUAACUCGGCUUUGUACAUGUAAUGCUUUUCUUGGGUCUUGUGCUGAGGUGUGAAGGGAGCCUGACCUAGAAAUGGAUGUUGAGAAAGUUAGCAUUCUAGAAAGCUUAGGGAUUAGGUAUUCGGGUGACAGCUCAGUGCCAUCAUCUAGCUAGCCAGCGUCAGGAUUUGAGGUGCUUCUAAGGUGAGGUAAAGACACUCAGACCCAGGAGUGUAGAGCCAAGAGCCUCCACACCUAGGCGCUAUUGUUAUUUCUCAGUACGUCAGGACCUCAUCAGACUUCUUUUAUUCUGCCUGGGAGGCCUUGUAAUGUAGGCUGGGCCACUUAAUGCCCACUUGAAGCCUAGAACUUGUGGCAUUUCAAACUCAGCCUGAAGUUAGAAGCAAGCCUUCCUCUGCUGACAAGAGGCCAGACUUCCCUGGAGGGGCCCAGACAUCUGGCUUUGCCACAGCUGCUCUUUCACUGAGAAGCUCAAGGUACCGUGGAGCUGAGCACUCUGACUCCAAGGCAUUCCCAGCCCCACUCUUUCCCUGGGGCUUGAGUGUCUUUGAGGACAGUGCAAUCUCGAGCUAGACGAGGACACCACGAACCAAGUGCAGCCCCAGAGCCUACAGUCUCAGAGCGUCUUGUCACCCUCUCCCAACAGAGCUGUCCAGUUCCCCCCCAGGACCCUACCACCAGGAGCCUUACAUCUCUAAACCAGAGGAGCGGUUCAAGGCCCCGCCCAUCCUCCCGCCUCACCUGCUGCAGGUCAUCUUGAACAAGGACACGGGCAUCUCUUGUGAUCCAGCGCUGCUUCCGGAGCCCAACCACGUCAUGCUGAACCACCUCUAUGCACUCUCUAUCAAGGAUGGAGUGAUGGUGCUCAGUGCGACCCAUCGGUACAAGAAAAAGUACGUCACCACCCUCCUCUACAAGCCCAUAUGAGAGGAUGAGCCAGCCGUGGGCCACGGGACAGCAGGCGGGCGGCGCUGGGCUCUCCGUGUGCAUGCGCAUCCUCACUCCGGGACAUCUCACCCCCACAUAGUCCUCCUUGAAGGUCUGUCCAGGCACAGCCAGAAAUCGGAUGGACGGCAGCCCGUGGUCCCAGCACCGCAGGCAGUGCGCCAGGCUCUAGUGCUCUAAGCAUCAUCCCUCUGCUGGCCCGAGAUGUCUACAGCCAGACCUGAAUGCUGGUUCCUGCUAGAAAACCUAGGACAGGAACUGAAGUCACCAAAGCCCUCAUCAUCCCUGCUGAAGCCUGGCUUGGAAGAAAGCAGUGCUCGGUCUUGCCUGUCCUUCCGAAUCACAGCAGUAGAUUGUAGACUCCAUGGAAUUUCAGUGUCCAAUUUCCAGAUGCAGCUUCGCAAUCGAUUCCUGACACUGUGCACUGAGACCUUCUUAACCAGAGUGGCUGGCUGUCCACUCUCACUUAAGGCAAUAAGUCACCAGGACGAGACUAUAGGUCAUGUGACUACUGAGCAAUAAUCGUUCUCAAACAGACAUCAGAAACCACUGCCAUU